This 394-nucleotide long non-coding RNA is filed under the name Helianthus annuus (common sunflower). Its description in RNAcentral is "sRNA HanXRQr2_Chr10g0427181". Lineage: Eukaryota; Viridiplantae; Streptophyta; Magnoliopsida; Asterales; Asteraceae. The record is from RNAcentral.
UCACCAUCUUUUCCGUAAGCAAUGUUGGCUCGGAUGGUGUCAUUGAACAAGAUCGGUUCCUGGCUCACUAGGCCCAUCUGCAGUCUGAGCCACUUGAGUUGGAACUUAUGUAACUCGUAUCCGUCCAUAGUGAUACAACCCGAACCCGGAUUGUAAAAUCUUUGUAGGAGUGAAAUAAUCGUCGAUUUCCCACUUCCGCUCUCCCCAACCAAUGCAACUUUACCUUGCCACUAUUGAUGGUUAAGCAUAGAUCACGAAAUAUCUCGACAUUAGGUCUGGUUGGAUACCGAAAACUAACAUGACGAAGCUCGAUUUCCCCUUUUACAUGUUGUAAUAUCAUUCCGGAUUCAUCACUUGGGUCUAUCUCUGACUCGCGAUCAAGAAUGGCAAAUAC